AUUGAACGCUGGCGGCAUGAUUUACACAUGCAAGUCGAACGGUAACAGGCCGCAAGGUGCUGACGAGUGGCGAACGGGUGAGUAAUGCAUCGGAACGUGCCCAGUCGUGGGGGAUAACUACUCGAAAGAGUAGCUAAUACCGCAUACGAUCUAUGGAUGAAAGCGGGGGACCGUAAGGCCUCGCGCGAUUGGAGCGGCCGAUGUCAGAUUAGGUAGUUGGUGGGGUAAAGGCUCACCAAGCCAACGAUCUGUAGCUGGUCUGAGAGGACGACCAGCCACACUGGGACUGAGACACGGCCCAGACUCCUACGGGAGGCAGCAGUGGGGAAUUUUGGACAAUGGGCGCAAGCCUGAUCCAGCAAUGCCGCGUGCAGGAAGAAGGCCUUCGGGUUGUAAACUGCUUUUGUACGGAACGAAACGGCUCUGGUUAAUACCUGGGGCUAAUGACGGUACCGUAAGAAUAAGCACCGGCUAACUACGUG
Molecule: ribosomal RNA, 482 nt
Filed under: uncultured bacterium
Lineage: Bacteria
Description: partial 16S ribosomal RNA
Rfam family: Bacterial small subunit ribosomal RNA
Source: RNAcentral